GUUUCCCUUGAGUGGACUCUUUUCCUUGAUAUGCCUUUUCUAAUAGCCACAUAACACCAUCUCGAAAGGUUACAACUUUCUUCAUAUCAGCUAUGUUUCUCAUUGUGUUUUCCUGAGGUAUCCUUGAUACUCUGCGGGAAGUACCCAGGAGCAGCAAGAAACACUGAAUUUUGGAGUCUUAUCUGGAAAAGACUUGGAAUUGUAAUCCCCCACUUACUGACUGUAAGAGCCUUGGAUCUGUUCCUGAAAACAUGGUGUUCAAGUUGAACAUAUGAAAACAGAACUUCUUUCUUCUUCAAUGGAAGUGACACCUAACAAUUUGGAUUUAGAUUUCUCUGCCUCUUACAUCUACUGCUUGAUAAUGUAGAAACCAACAUUCAAAUCCAGGGAAGCAAAUCCUUUUUUAAAAGAUUUGAUUAAAUUAUCUGAGGAUAAAUUGUGCCUUGUUUUUUAUUUUUAACUAUAUUUUUGAGAGGGAGCUUCACAAACUCUUUAUUAUUCCCUUAAGAUCCAACUUUUGGUUCUUAUGACAUCAGUUUCAGAUGAGGACGCACAAGUCACUGUUCCCAUUACUAUAUUGGGAGGGUGGGGUUCUGAAAAUGUGCAAUGUGAGU
RNAcentral lists this long non-coding RNA (614 nucleotides) under Homo sapiens (human). RNAcentral's name for it is "HSALNT0297699". Lineage: Eukaryota; Metazoa; Chordata; Mammalia; Primates; Hominidae. The record is from RNAcentral.